UAGAUUGAGGUGAUUACAAGAAAUGUGU
Molecule: small RNA, 28 nt
Filed under: Bombyx mori (domestic silkworm)
Lineage: Eukaryota; Metazoa; Arthropoda; Insecta; Lepidoptera; Bombycidae
Description: ovarian small RNA-22172
Source: RNAcentral